AAUAGAUACCCAGGUAGUCCACGCCGUAAACGAUGUCGACUUGGAGGUUGUUCCCUUGAGGAGUGGCUUCCGGAGCUAACGCGUUAAGUCGACCGCCUGGGGAGUACGGCCGCAAGGUUAAAACUCAAAUGAAUUGACGGGGGCCCGCACAAGCGGUGGAGCAUGUGGUUUAAUUCGAUGCAACGCGAAGAACCUUACCUACUCUUGACAUCCAGAGAACUUAGCAGAGAUGCUUUGGUGCCUUCGGGAACUCUGAGACAGGUGCUGCAUGGCUGUCGUCAGCUCGUGUUGUGAAAUGUUGGGUUAAGUCCCGCAACGAGCGCAACCCUUAUCCUUUGUUGCCAGCGGUUCGGCCGGGAACUCAAAGGAGACUGCCAGUGAUAAACUGGAGGAAGGUGGGGAUGACGUCAAGUCAUCAUGGCCCUUACGAGUAGGGCUACACACGUGCUACAAUGGCGUAUACAAAGAGAAGCGACCUCGCGAGAGCAAGCGGACCUCAUAAAGUACGUCGUAGUCCGGAUUGGAGUCUGCAACUCG
This 537-nucleotide ribosomal RNA is filed under the name uncultured bacterium. Its description in RNAcentral is "bacterial SSU rRNA". It matches the Rfam family "Bacterial small subunit ribosomal RNA", at positions 777 to 1314 of the family's 1533-position model. The record is from RNAcentral.